CGGCGAACGGGUGAGUAACACGUGGGCAACCUGCCUGUAAGACUGGGAUAACAUCGAGAAAUCGGUGCUAAUACCGGAUAAUAAAAGAACUGCAUGGUCUUUUUGAAAGAUGGUUUCGGCUAUCACUUACAGAUGGGCCCGCGGCGCAUUAGCUAGUUGGUGAGGUAACGGCUCACCAAGGCAACGAUGCGUAGCCGACCUGAGAGGGGUGAUCGGCCACACUGGGACUGAGACACGGCCCCAGACCUCCUACGGGAGGCAGCAGUAGGGAAUCCUUCCGCAACUGGACGAAAGUCUGACGGAGCAACGCCGCGUGAGUGAUGAAGGUUUUCGGAUCGUAAAACUCUGUUGUUAGGGAAGAACAAGUGCCGUUCGAAAGGGCGGCACCUUGACGGUACCUAACGAGAAAGCCACGGCUAACUACGUG
This 427-nucleotide ribosomal RNA is filed under the name uncultured bacterium. RNAcentral's name for it is "bacterial SSU rRNA". It matches the Rfam family "Bacterial small subunit ribosomal RNA", at positions 96 to 507 of the family's 1533-position model. The record is from RNAcentral.